This is a long non-coding RNA of Sardina pilchardus (European sardine), 319 nucleotides long. RefSeq lists it as uncharacterized. The record is from RefSeq and is a predicted model, not a curated record. The transcript has 4 exons. Lineage: Eukaryota; Metazoa; Chordata; Actinopteri; Clupeiformes; Clupeidae.
UAUGAGCAUGCAGCAUUCUUCUGUGCUGUCACCAACAGCUGGUGUGGACAAAUAAACAAUGGAAACACAUCUGAUUUGAACACAGACACAACUGUUGAUCCUGUUGUUUGUGGAAUGGCUGCUGUUCUGGGACUAAGUGUGGUGGUCAUAUUUUACUUGUUAUAUUUACAUAGCAAGGAGAACAGCAUUGGAGAUGGGUGGAAUUCUCUGGGACAGACAUCUUCGAUGACAGCAUUGUCAGCUCAGGUGCAUAUGAAUGACUGGAUCACCACAACGGUGGUUUAUAACAUCAAGACCUUUAAGCAAUGAUUCAAUGAGC